Molecule: non-coding RNA, 862 nt
Organism: Pimephales promelas (fathead minnow)
Lineage: Eukaryota; Metazoa; Chordata; Actinopteri; Cypriniformes; Leuciscidae
Source: RefSeq, a predicted model, not a curated record
GUCUGAAGUUCAGGAAGUAGUGCAGCUGGGCAUGAAGCCCUUUAGGGACUGCAGAAGUUUUCCAGCUGGACGUGGUGGUGGUGCCACUCUCUAGUCUGGGUUUCCCCAUACUGCCUUACCGCAGCGCGAUUCAAUUCACACUGAAAGGCAGUCUGGAUACCGUUACCGUUUCUCCUCAUUUAGGGAAUCAAUCAUUCACAGAACGGGGAGGGAGCAGCGAGACGAUGACGAUAUCUAUCCCUCACACCGAAGCAGUUUGUCUAUGGACUCAACAUGGCAGCAGAUGCAAAGCUUUUGAUGCAGCCUUAGAUAUUGUUUUAAGUAGUUUAGAAGUAGUUUAAGUUUAUUUAGAAAAAAGAGCCGUUUCUGGCGUUAAACUUCGCGAGAGCCCAGUCGUUAUUGUUGUCUCGCCAUUAAUCGCCCUAAUGGAGGACCGGUACAGGAGGCGGUCAGCCUGGGAAUAUCUGCCGCUCGGCUGUGGCCCGAGAAAGAAAAUGCGGUAAAGAAUGGUCGAUACCAACUUCUGUUCGGCAGUCCCGAGGCCUGGAUGAGCGCAAAGUGGCAAGACAUGUUAGCCACGGAGUUGUAUAGUACCAACCUGCUAGGCAUCGUCGUCGACGAAGUCUAUUUAACUUAUAAAUGUUGAGGACACUAUUCUUCGCCACCGCUUCAAGACACUGAAGGAGAAUCGCACACUGGGUUUCUACGGCGUUCAACACGAGGGUCAUAUUAUCGCAGUACGCUGUAGAAGCUCUGUUACAGCGAAACGCCCGUGUGACUCUCUUCCCGUUCAUAGGUCAGCAGUUAAAAAGACUGAACUUGACAACUAUAAUCUCUUGACACUGGAGGAUGAUCACACACU